AAUGCACCAAUUUGUAAGUCGCUCUGGAUAAGAGGGUCUGCUAAAUGUCUUAAA
Molecule: non-coding RNA, 54 nt
Organism: Salmo salar (Atlantic salmon)
Lineage: Eukaryota; Metazoa; Chordata; Actinopteri; Salmoniformes; Salmonidae
Source: Rfam